Ursus maritimus (polar bear) is the source of this 71-nucleotide small nucleolar RNA. Ensembl annotates it as small nucleolar RNA, C/D box 49A. Its record names the gene SNORD49A. The record is from Ensembl. NCBI's taxonomy places the organism in Eukaryota, Metazoa, Chordata, Mammalia, Carnivora, Ursidae.
UGCUCUGAUGAAAUCUCUUAUAGGAAGUGCCGUCAGAUGCGAUAACUGACGAUAACCAUUCCUGGCUGACU